Long non-coding RNA from Macadamia integrifolia, 1727 nucleotides. RefSeq lists it as uncharacterized. The transcript has 2 exons. Lineage: Eukaryota; Viridiplantae; Streptophyta; Magnoliopsida; Proteales; Proteaceae. The record is from RefSeq and is a predicted model, not a curated record.
CUCCACUCUCUUCUAUCCCCUCCUCGGCCACAAAUCCACAAUACCCCCUUUCCCCACACAACACCAUUAAAGUAAGUUUUAAUGGGGCAACAACUCCAUUAAAGUAAUCUUAAACAAGGUUGUUGGAUCCGAAGAGGGAUGCUUUAUGGGUAAUUUUCCUUAUAUUUUGUAGGCUCCAAUAGGAACUUGAAUCUGCUUAAUUUCCAUAAAAGUUUUCGACAAGUUAGAUUCAUCAUCAGUGCUUUAGGAUCAAAAAAAUAGAAAACCAAAAUCUCAUUACAAUGCUGAAACCCAUAUAAAAAAGAAACAGAAAAUUAAGGUAGAUUCAAUUAAAAACGAUUGUGUAGGGGGAAAACUAAAUUGAUAAAGUAAGGGGAGGGAGAGGGAAGGCGGGAGGAAGGGGGCUACUGAGUUCAUGAUGAAGGGGAGAUAGAGAGAGCGGGCUGGGGUAUAGAGAAAAGAGGAGGGGAGAGAGAACAUUUGCAGCCAAUUUAGGUAAACAGUUCAACGAUUGAAAUGGAAUAAGAUUAAAUCAAUGUUUGAUAAUUGAAAAACGCAUUAGCAAGUAACUUUUUUGCCAAACAAUAAAAGAUAAAAGAAGAAAAAAAAAAUCUCUUUGCCUCACGUUUUAGGAGGUAAGAAGGGACAGAAAACAAAGGAAAGAAGAGAAGAGGAAUCGACUGAUUCAAGAGGGGAGAAGAAGAAGAAUCGGUUCAUGCAAGUGGAAGGGGGCUAUAAGAAGUGAGAAAAAAAAAGAAAAAAAAAAAAAAAAAAAAGAAGAAGAAGAAGAAGAAGAAAAGAGGAAAAGAAGAAAAGAAAAGCAAGAAGAGGAAACGAGGUUAAGGUCGGCUGCCUCUGUUUUCCCGGGCUGUCGCAGUUUGGCUUUUGAAACUUUGGGAGAUGGAUAGAAACGAGAUCUCUCACCUCACCUUUCUUCUUCAUUUGAUAUUGUAAUCGAUCUUCUUCCUUCCACCUUCCAGAAUCCAGAAGUGUUUCUUUAUCAUCUCUAUACACUAGGUUAGUUUCUUUGGAGAAAAGGGUUUUCAGAUUCUGGGUUUGGGUUCUUCUUCUUCUUCCCCCGUUUUUGUGAGUUAGAGAAGACUGAAAGAGGGCUUUCGACCUUUGGGUCUUGUUUUUUCUUGAUAAAAUAAUGAGAGAUCUUUCUUGCUGUGGAGUUGACCUUCUUCUUCUCGGUUCUAAGGGUUGCAGAGGCGUGAGGGAGAAACCACUGAAAAAGAGUUUCAGAAGAGGGAAAAUCGCAAGGAGAAGGGGUUUAGGGAGAGAUAAAAUUGCAGAUUAGAGGUGAGGUUUCAGGGGAGAAAAUCGCUGCUUAGAAAGGUAGUUCCAGGGAAGAGGUCCUUGCCGUUAAAGAAGAGGUUUCAAGACGGAGGGUCGCUGGUUAGAAGUGGAGAAUUCUGUAGGAACAGAUCGGUUUCUUCGAUCUUGAGAGAGAACAAAGAUCUACAACUUGGAGCAACCAGCCAUCUUUGAAGAUUAAAGCAAUCCAGUUUUCAGGCAGUGUCUGAAUCUAUUGUCUCAAAGAAUCUUAAUUUUCAAAUUCAUUAUUGCUCAUGUUUCAUUUUAUCCUUACCAACCUUUCCCUUUGAUCUUAGCUGCCAUCUCCUGCAUUUUACAGUUCACUUUGAUAGGUUGAUGUGGGCAUGAUUUGUAACAUGCAUUGACAUCAUAUUUCUUAGGCUGGUAAAUUGAUUCUCUUUCAUCAUUGA